This 154-nucleotide ribosomal RNA is filed under the name Parmotrema crinitum. Its description in RNAcentral is "5.8S ribosomal RNA". The stretch from base 38 to 154 matches the Rfam family "5.8S ribosomal RNA", at positions 1 to 117 of the family's 154-position model. Rfam says of the family: 5.8S ribosomal RNA (5.8S rRNA) is a component of the large subunit of the eukaryotic ribosome. It is transcribed by RNA polymerase I as part of the 45S precursor that also contains 18S and 28S rRNA. Lineage: Eukaryota; Fungi; Ascomycota; Lecanoromycetes; Lecanorales; Parmeliaceae. The record is from RNAcentral.
UUAUCAGUGUUGUCCGAGUCCAAAAUAAAUAAGUAAAAACUUUCAACAACGGAUCUCUUGGUUCCAGCAUCGAUGAAGAACGCAGCGAAAUGCGAUAAGUAAUGUGAAUUGCAGAAUUCAGUGAAUCAUCGAAUCUUUGAACGCACAUUGCGCC